RNAcentral lists this transfer RNA (114 nucleotides) under Chrysochromulina tobinii. RNAcentral's name for it is "Chrysochromulina sp. CCMP291 tRNA". It matches the Rfam family "tRNA". From Rfam's summary of the family: Transfer RNA (tRNA) molecules are approximately 80 nucleotides in length. Their secondary structure includes four short double-helical elements and three loops (D, anti-codon, and T loops). Lineage: Eukaryota; Haptophyta; Prymnesiales; Chrysochromulinaceae. The record is from Rfam by way of RNAcentral.
GCUCUUGUAGUGUAGUGGUCAUCACUGAGGACUUUGAAUUCUCGAUUCGCUAAAUUGCGAAAAAUUGCGAAAAGAAGAUAUCCUCCAACCGCGGUUCGAAUCCGUGCAGGAGCU